CCGACUCAUGAAACGAGGAGCUGGCAGACCUUGGGUUCGUCCUGGCUCCGACAUUACAGCGUUCUGUCACCAAGCUGCCUUGAGAAACCAGAAAGGAGGGGGGAGAGCGGGAGUUCCAUCCCUCACUAUGACGUGUGCUGACCACCAGAGGGCAGCACGGACCAUGGCAGUUCUGUCAGCAGCGUUUUGGGCUGUUUCCAAGUCUGUGCAAUUGUGAGCAGCACUACUGUACAUACCAUUAUUCAUGUCUCUUGGCUUUACUGGGUUUUGUUCCAAGAAAUGGAUUUGCCGAGAGGUAGACGGUGUGAAUGCUCAACUUUCAAAAUAGCGCUGCACUCUGCUCCUAGACGGCUGAGCCACACACGUCUGCCAUGGAACCCGUCUAUGGAGUUGUUCAUUUUCAGCGACCAUGUUUCUCACUUGUAAAAGCAUGAUGCAGUUCUUUAUCGGAUUUGCUUUUACAUUUCCAAACCAUCUUCACGGUCUUUGUAGCUUUUAUUUCUUCGCUUACCUUUCUAAUCCGA
This is a long non-coding RNA of Myotis myotis, 524 nucleotides long. RefSeq lists it as uncharacterized. The transcript has 3 exons. NCBI's taxonomy places the organism in Eukaryota, Metazoa, Chordata, Mammalia, Chiroptera, Vespertilionidae. The record is from RefSeq and is a predicted model, not a curated record.